AUACGGAGGGUGCAAGCGUUAUCCGGAUUCAUUGGGUUUAAAGGGUACGUAGGCGGAUAGAUAAGUUAGUGGUGAAAUCCCGAAGCUCAACUUCAGAACUGCCAUUAAAACUGUCUAUCUUGAAUUUGGUUGAAGUGGGCGGAAUAUGACAUGUAGCGGUGAAACGCAUAGAUAUGUCAUGGAACACCGAUAGUGAAGACAGCUCACUAAGCCAAUAUUGACGCUGAGGUACGAAAGCAUAGGUAGCGAACAGGAUUAGAAACCCGAGUAGUCC
This 274-nucleotide ribosomal RNA is filed under the name uncultured bacterium. RNAcentral's name for it is "partial 16S ribosomal RNA". It matches the Rfam family "Bacterial small subunit ribosomal RNA", at positions 523 to 796 of the family's 1533-position model. The record is from RNAcentral.